Molecule: ribosomal RNA, 697 nt
Filed under: uncultured bacterium
Lineage: Bacteria
Description: bacterial SSU rRNA
Rfam family: Bacterial small subunit ribosomal RNA
Source: RNAcentral
GGCGAACGGGUGAGUAACACGUGGGUAACCUGCCCCCAUCUCUGGGAUAACCGUUGGAAACGGCGGCUAAUACCGGAUACGACCUGGCUCCGCAUGGUGCUGGGUGGAAAGUUUUUGCGGUUGGGGAGGGGCCCGCGGCCUAUCAGCUUGUUGGUGCGGUAGUGGCGCACCAAGGCUUUGACGGGUAGCCGGCCUGAGAGGGCGGUCGGUCACAUUGGGACUGAGAUACGGCCCAGACUCCUACGGGAGGCAGCAGUGGGGAAUUUUGCACAAUGGGCGAAAGCCUGAUGCAGCGACGCCGCGUGAGGGAUGACGGCUUUCGGGUUGUAAACCUCUUUUAUCCACCACGAAGGCCCCGUAUUCGCGGGGUUGACGGUAGUGGUUGAAUAAGCGCCGGCUAACUACGUGCCAGCAGCCGCGGUAAGACGUAGGGCGCGAGCGUUGUCCGGAUUUAUUGGGCGUAAAGGGCUCGUAGGCGGUUGAUUGCGUCCGCCGUGAAAGGCCUCGGCUUAACCGGGGUUUUGCGGUGGAUACGGGUCGACUUGAGGCAAUUAGGGGAGAUCGGAAUUCUACGUGUAACGGUGAAAUGCGCAGAUAUGUGGAGGAACACCGGUGGCGAAGGCGGAUCUCUGGGAUUGUUCUGACGCUGAGGAGCGAAAGCGUGGGGAGCGAACAGGAUUAGAUACCCUGGUAGUCC